UUUUUUUUUUUUUUUUUUAAUUAAAUGAAUGGAGGGCGGCGGCAACUGCCGCAGCUGGCUCAGCUGCGCGAACUGUGCCCCCUCCCAGCCUGCGAGAGGAGAUGUGGAAGCUCAAUCCAGGACAACCAGUGUGAGCAUAGAACAGGAGAGAAGAAAAAAACAGCCAAGAGAAGCCAGUAGAGGACCUGCCCCAACAAAACGGAGGAGCAAAUCCAGCGAGGAGACACCAUGGGAGUAACCGAAUGGCGUUCAGCUGCGGCGGAGAAAGGACCUCAGCUUGUGUGGACCUGUGUACUCUCGUCCGUACUCGGCCUUUUCCUUCUAGAACAGCUGGGACCCGCGCACCGCCCUUCGGCUGUACCCAGGAAGCGCCUGAGUGCGCACCCUUGAGCCUUGUAACCUCCCUGCAGAGGCUGUAAUCAUCAGCUCCAGUGAAGGUGGGGAAACUGAGGCCCAGGGAGGUUACACAAGUAGCCAAAAGUCACCACCUCCUGGACCCCCUGGAGGCUUUUGGAACACCUUAGUUAGAUUUGGUUCACCCUAGAAGUUAAUGUUGGUAACCAUGGAGCCAUACUGCCUGGGAAACCUACUCAGAGUCCCCAGUCAUCAAAAGUGGCAGUUUGCAUUGGGAAGACCAAAGCCACAAUUAUUUAAUGAGGAGCGUUCCCUAUCAUUUCCAGCCAGCCACCGUCUUUCAGAAGUUGCUUGGAUCUGUUUCACCUGUGUCUUUCUGCAUCCUUACUUCUCCCCCCACCCCCCACUUUGUAAGAUUUCUGGAAGCCUCUCGUGCAGUUAAUGUUCUUUAUUAGAAGGAAUCUGCAGUCCAUGGCAGAGUGGUCCACUCUAAUCUGUGGUCUAGGGGAGGGCUAUCUUUUGGAGUACAGGGUGUUGUGGUCUAGGGGAGGGCUAUCUUUUGGAGUUCAGGGUGUUGUUUUGGAGCAAUUAAUGCUGGUAAUUCCCAGCGGCUGCCCUGGGCUUCUAGGUUUGAAUAUUCAAAGCAGCUAAUAUGCCAGACACUGUGUGUAGCUACCUUCUUUCAUUUAAUCCUUACGAUAGUCUCACACAUGAUAGGCAUUGCUAUCCCUAUGUGCAGAUGGGCAAACAGGUUGGGGAGCUGAUCAGCUCACACACUGCAGUGGAAGAAUAGGCGUCACUGAGUCACCACGUUCUGAUUACUGGUCGUGUCCCUCUUUCUUACUUUAAACCAGACUAGUAGGUAGUGAAGGAAGGGUAGGAUAUUGGGGGUGGAGGGUGUUGGUCACCUCUGCCUUUAGGGAGCUCUGGGCCAGAUCCCACUUUCUGGGUGAAAAGAACCUGGCUGGCUGACACUUGUGGGCUGGAAUCUUCUCUUUUGGAGCCUUUUAAGGUCCUAGUGGCUUGAAGAAAGAGGGGGACCUGAUGUGAAGUCCGAGUUCUUUCCACUCUGCUUGAAUGGGGAAAUGGGAUUCUUUAAAAAAAUUAUCUGGUGCUGGAUUCCUAAGGGUGAA
Phyllostomus hastatus (greater spear-nosed bat) is the source of this 1487-nucleotide long non-coding RNA. RefSeq lists it as uncharacterized. NCBI's taxonomy places the organism in Eukaryota, Metazoa, Chordata, Mammalia, Chiroptera, Phyllostomidae. The record is from RefSeq and is a predicted model, not a curated record. The transcript has 4 exons.